CUAGUGUUCGUAGGCUCCAUG
RNAcentral lists this small nuclear RNA (21 nucleotides) under Arabidopsis thaliana (thale cress). RNAcentral's name for it is "snRNA_15654". The record is from RNAcentral. Lineage: Eukaryota; Viridiplantae; Streptophyta; Magnoliopsida; Brassicales; Brassicaceae.